GAAAGAAGUGCUAGUUACCACUCACAAUACUACUCCCUAUUUGCGAGCAUAUUCCCAUUGUUCUAGGCACAAGCCUGGGAUUGCUCUAUUUCUAAUUAACAUGUCAAACCAAACAACCUUCAGUGUUUCUGUUUUGAAUGAUAAUGCUCCUUAUCCAAGAAAUUACAAGUUGAAGAGUUAUUCUUAUGGAGGAUCAGAGAAAAGGGAAGAGUACCAUUUGACUCCUGAAGAUGGAAAUAUUCAGAGUGAUGUAGUGCUACUGAAUGGAACGCCAUUGAAGCUUACAAGUUCAUUAGAAAUUCCUGAAAUGAAACCCAAGUAUGUCGAUCCUUCGACUCCGAUCACCGUUGCUCCUGAUUCCUUUGUUUAUGUUACCAUUAAAGAUUUCAAGGCUCCUGCUUGUGCUUAGCUUAGCCGUAGAGAACCUGCUUGUGCUUAGCUUAGCCGUAGAGAA
RNAcentral lists this unclassified non-coding RNA (454 nucleotides) under Hevea brasiliensis (rubber tree). Lineage: Eukaryota; Viridiplantae; Streptophyta; Magnoliopsida; Malpighiales; Euphorbiaceae. The record is from RNAcentral.